GUAUGAAGAUACGUUCGAAGAAGACGACGUUAGCAAGGUUACCCUUCCGGCUUGGCCUGGGCAGGGUUAUGGACGCCGCUGGUUAUCUUCAGGACUCUUAGUCCAAUUUGUAUCUUGUCCUUACUCGGACGUAUUCGAUCUUCUGUAUGAUUUGGAUCUUUGUAUUGUAUAUUUGUAUCUUGACUCAUUAGAGUCGUUGUUGUAAUAUAUGUUUCUUGUGGGCUCUAUUGUAAUCCUGUUGUAAUGUUACCGCUCGUGUUAAUUCCUCUGGCAUCACGUGUGUGAUUCGUCGCGCACGUCGUGUCGGAGGGCGUCUCAGAAUCGAUAUCGUGCGGAUUUCGGCAGGAUCGCUGGAAUCCUCAUGGUACCGGUUCCGGGGCGUCACAAGUUGGUAUCAGAGCUCAGGUUGACGAUACCCCACUAGUCCAGCCUGUAGGAUAACCUUGCCAAUGGACGUUGUGUCUAGUGUCAAGCUAUUUUCUAAAACUCGUUGGAUAGAUCUGAUUAGCUCUAUUUUUCUUCUUAUCUUUAUUCUUUCUCCUCUUACCUAUGCGAGUUUUGAGUCUUCUCUCUUAUCUGAGUCUCUGAGUCUUAGGUUCCGACGUGGGUUGGACGAUCUUUGCCUCUCACCUAUUAGGUCCGAUCUUCGGAGGAUACCGACGGAAGCGCAUCAUCAACAUCGGAACAACGACUUCUUGUUAGUGGUGUCGAGGAGAUCGACACGUCGCCUGAAGAUCCGAUAGUUCACCUCUCUCCCCCGUACCUUGAGGUGGGAUCUCGGGGCGCGAUCCCUUGUUAGUGGUAUCGAUUGUAACGGCCCCGGGUAGCACCCCUAUUAGAUUUGUUUGUUGUUUUUUCUUUUGUGCAUCAUCAUGCAUCCUGCAUCAUCACAUCCAUGUUUUUAACAAAUAAAAAUUAUUUUAUAAAUCCUAAACUAUUUUCUUUUUUAUCUCAUAUGGUUUUAAUAAAACCCUUCUCCCUUCUUUCAUUUAAACAAAACCUCUAACCCCUUGGGUUGUGGCCUCUCUCUCUCUCUGGCCUCUCUCCUUGUGGCCCAUCUCUACCUCUGCUCUCAGCAGCCCACCUCUCCAGCUCCUUAGCCCACCUCGUUAUUUUUUCCCUCUGGCCCGUACCCCUUGGCUCUUCUUUUUCCUGUUGUCGUCUUCUCCCCAGGGAACGAGCACGCAAGGCGCGUGAUGUACUGGACCUCCACCACCGACGCCCCACCUCACCUGCUCCUCCCCUUUAUCCCUCUCCUAGAAACCCUAGCCGCUCCUCCCUUCUCCCUCCCUCUGGCCGCCGCCACCCUCUUCUCCCUCUUCUUUAUCCUCUCUUUUCUCUCUUCUCUGUAAGCAACGAAGGGAGGAAAACCACGUCGUACCACCGCAGAAACCUCCACCUCGCUGCCGUUCCAGGCCGCCCCUCGCUGUGCUGAUGCCACUGGCGGAUGCGCCUCGUCGUCCUCUUCAUCUACGUUCAAGGAAUCGUCCCAAGAUGUUCGGUAUCGAGCACAAGGCCGCCGUUUCUCCGCCACGGUUGUCAUGCUCCGGCGAGAAAUCUGUCGUCGUGCAUCCUCCCCCGCCCUCUCCGACCUCUCUACCACGUUCCUGAUAUGGUCUCCGGCGGCUCUCCGGUGGUUCCCCGGCGCCAAGACUACCACCAGCAGGUUCCCCAUGUUCUUCUGCGUCGAAUGCGCCCUCUCCCGCUUCCCGGGUCGUCCGCCAUCGCCAGAUCCAUCUUCGAACGGAUCUCCUUCCGCCAUGGAUGAUGGAUGCUCCAGCUCCGCCUCUUCUGGCUCUAGUUGCCACGAGCCUUUGUUUUAACAUGAUCUGAAUCAUUAGCGUGGUGAUCCGGCCCCGUUGAUGGUCUUCGACCCAGAUCCAUCCAGCGUGCCAGGCUGCAUCUCAUCACCGGUUCGGCCCACCAGCACCACCUCG
Molecule: long non-coding RNA, 1937 nt
Organism: Lolium perenne
Lineage: Eukaryota; Viridiplantae; Streptophyta; Magnoliopsida; Poales; Poaceae
Source: RefSeq, a predicted model, not a curated record